UGGCCCCCCGCGCUGCAGCCGGCAUCGCGGCGGGACCCGGAGCCUGGAGUUCGGGUGGGUAACCCGAGCUCUCCAAGCUCUUGAAGCCGCGAGGGUGGCUUAGCUUCGGUGUUUUGGCUGAGAACACCCUUAAAGCUUAAAAUAAAACCUGCCUCUGGGGUGCAGGGGAGGAGAGAGGAGGACGCGAAUCACACCCGCUGCUGCCCCCCAGCCCGCCCCGUCUGUACAAUGGGAUGCUCGGGACUCGGACGGGAGGAUCCAGUGACUGCGAGCCCCGCAUUCGCCCGAUCCCAGCCUCACACCCCCAGCCAGCCCCCAGAGACCCUCCCACACUUACGAAGGAAAUGCAUGCGGCCAGGAGGAGAAUCCGCACCAGGAGCAGGGAGCUCUACCCAGGAAAAAGAAGAAAAGGACAGAUUCAUUUGGGGUUCAGCCUCAUGCCCCCCACACCCAAGACUUUGUGGCUAAGAUAAGAGAAUCAGGCCACCUUGAGGUUCAUCAAGGUCAUCCCAUUAAAACCUCCCAAAACUCUGGA
RNAcentral lists this non-coding RNA (535 nucleotides) under Pan troglodytes (chimpanzee). The record is from RNAcentral. Lineage: Eukaryota; Metazoa; Chordata; Mammalia; Primates; Hominidae.